GUAGCAAAAUCUGGUUUUGCUAGUGACCUAAACUCUCUCCAUAGAAGUUCAAAUCUUCUCCCCAGCU
This 67-nucleotide transfer RNA is filed under the name Phyllobates aurotaenia. Its description in RNAcentral is "tRNA-Leu". Lineage: Eukaryota; Metazoa; Chordata; Amphibia; Anura; Dendrobatidae. The record is from RNAcentral.